This 68-nucleotide transfer RNA is filed under the name Marmota monax (woodchuck). It matches the Rfam family "tRNA". Rfam says of the family: Transfer RNA (tRNA) molecules are approximately 80 nucleotides in length. Their secondary structure includes four short double-helical elements and three loops (D, anti-codon, and T loops). Lineage: Eukaryota; Metazoa; Chordata; Mammalia; Rodentia; Sciuridae. The record is from Rfam by way of RNAcentral.
GUUGUUGCUCAGUGGUAGAGCGCUCACCUAGCAUGUGAGAGGCCCUGGGUUCGAUCCUCAGGACCACA